GAGACGGCGUGCUAUACAUGCAGUCGAGCGCGGGAAGCGAGCUGAAGCCCUUCGGGGUGGACGCUCGUGGAACGAGCGGCGGACGGGUGAGUAACACGUGGGCAACCUACCUGUAAGACCGGAAUAACCCCGGGAAACCGGGGCUAAUGCCGGGUAACCGUUCGGUUCUCCUGAACCGAACGUAAAAGGAUGGCUUCUUGCUAUCGCUUACAGAUGGGCCCGCGGCGCAUUAGCUAGUUGGUAAGGUAACGGCUUACCAAGGCGACGAUGCGUAGCCGACCUGAGAGGGUGAUCGGCCACACUGGGACUGAGACACGGCCCAGACUCCUACGGGAGGCAGCAGUAGGGAAUCUUCCGCAAUGGACGAAAGUCUGACGGAGCAACGCCGCGUGAACGAUGAAGGCUUUCGGGUCGUAAAGUUCUGUUGUGAGGGAAGAACAAGGAUCGUGCGAAUAGAACGGUCCCUUGACGGUACCUCACGAGGAAGCCCCGGCUAACUACGUGCCAGCAGCCGCGGUAAUACGUAGGGGGCAAGCGUUGUCCGGAAUUAUUGGGCGUAAAGCGCACGCAGGCGGUUCCUUAAGUCUGAUGUGAAAGCCCGUGGCUCAACCACGGAGGGCCAUUGGAAACUGGGGAACUUGAGAACUGAAGAGGAGAGUGGAAUUCCACGUGUAGCGGUGAAAUGCGUAGAUAUGUGGAGGAACACCAGUGGCGAAGGCGACUCUCUGGUCGGUUUCUGACGCUGAGGUGCGAAAGCGUGGGUAGCAAACAGGAUUAGAUACCCUGGUAGUCCACGCCGUAAACGAUGAGUGCUAGGUGUUAGGGGGCUUCCACCCCUUAGUGCUGAAGUUAACGCAUUAAGCACUCCGCCUGGGGAGUACGGCCGCAAGGCUGAACUCAAGGAAUUGACGGGGGCCCGCACAGCGGUGAGCAUGUGGUUUAUUCGAAGCACGCGAGACCUUACCAGGUCUUGACAUCCUUGGCUACUCUAAGAAGAUAGAGGUUCCCUUCGGGACCAGUGACA
Molecule: ribosomal RNA, 1024 nt
Filed under: Salimicrobium sp. E2
Lineage: Bacteria; Bacillati; Bacillota; Bacilli; Caryophanales; Bacillaceae
Description: bacterial SSU rRNA
Rfam family: Bacterial small subunit ribosomal RNA
Source: RNAcentral